AAGUGACAUGUCAGAGCUGCGAUUGCCUUCAGUAGUCCAGUUUUAAGUCCAAAGCCUUAAUCGUUCUUUCUGGAUACCCAGUACCUUAUAAUGCAGGGCCAGUCCUGAGAUCUUCCCGUGUCUCCUCAAGAUCUGCCUAUUCCCAGCCUUUAAUCCCAAUUGGAUGCUUCACAUCGGUCC
RNAcentral lists this long non-coding RNA (180 nucleotides) under Capra hircus (goat). Its description in RNAcentral is "lncRNA (ENSCHIG00010030313.1)". The record is from RNAcentral. Lineage: Eukaryota; Metazoa; Chordata; Mammalia; Artiodactyla; Bovidae.